GUUUACCAUCAACGCUAAUGUUCUGCAUCAAAGUAGAAAUGGUUAUAAGAUGGAGAAAUGCAAAAUGAAAUAUCAAAAUUGAGCCAGUUUGGAAGAAUUUCAGCAAACAGAGAUCACCCCUAAUGCAGAAAACAUUUAUCAAAUAAAUCAACCAAAAAACAAAAAUUUAAAACUCUUGGGAUUUGAUGGAAAACUAAGAGAAAAUUCAAAAAUACUCCAAAGAACUCUGCUCAUCAACA
RNAcentral lists this unclassified non-coding RNA (239 nucleotides) under Hevea brasiliensis (rubber tree). Lineage: Eukaryota; Viridiplantae; Streptophyta; Magnoliopsida; Malpighiales; Euphorbiaceae. The record is from RNAcentral.